ACGGUAACAGGGAUCAGCUUGCUGAUUCGCUGACGAGUGGCGGACGGGUGAGUAAUGUCUGGGAAACUGCCUGAUGGAGGGGGAUAACUACUGGAAACGGUAGCUAAUACCGCAUAACGUCGCAAGACCAAAGAGGGGGACCUUCGGGCCUCUUGCCAUCGGAUGUGCCCAGAUGGGAUUAGCUAGUAGGUGGGGUAACGGCUCACCUAGGCGACGAUCCCUAGCUGGUCUGAGAGGAUGACCAGCCACACUGGAACUGAGACACGGUCCAGACUCCUACGGGAGGCAGCAGUGGGGAAUAUUGCACAAUGGGCGCAAGCCUGAUGCAGCCAUGCCGCGUGUAUGAAGAAGGCCUUCGGGUUGUAAAGUACUUUCAGCGGGGAGGAAGGGAGUAAAGUUAAUACCUUUGCUCAUUGACGUUACCCGCAGAAGAAGCACCGGCUAACUCCGUGCCAGCAGCCGCGGUAAUACGGAGGGUGCAAGCGUUAAUCGGAAUUACUGGGCGUAAAGCGCACGCAGGCGGUUUGUUAAGUCAGAUGUGAAAUCCCCGGGCUCAACCUGGGAACUGCAUCUGAUACUGGCAAGCUUGAGUCUCGUAGAGGGGGGUAGAAUUCCAGGUGUAGCGGUGAAAUGCGUAGAGAUCUGGAGGAAUACCGGUGGCGAAGGCGGCCCCCUGGACGAAGACUGACGCUCAGGUGCGAAAGC
This 705-nucleotide ribosomal RNA is filed under the name uncultured bacterium. Its description in RNAcentral is "bacterial SSU rRNA". It matches the Rfam family "Bacterial small subunit ribosomal RNA", at positions 66 to 760 of the family's 1533-position model. The record is from RNAcentral.